RNAcentral lists this long non-coding RNA (373 nucleotides) under Hordeum vulgare. RNAcentral describes it as "long non-coding RNA (HVUL_LNC004161)". The record is from RNAcentral. Lineage: Eukaryota; Viridiplantae; Streptophyta; Magnoliopsida; Poales; Poaceae.
GGACAUUGUUCGGCUGAGGGAAAACUUGUGAUUCUGGGCCCUUAUAUAAAGAUCUAAAGGUCCAGAUCUGAGGGGCUGCCUAGGGCUGCGGGGUUGGGAAGAGGUGGAGCUAGCAAGUGGGGUUUUUGAGGGGGUGGCUGCAAUUUUGGCUAGGGGGAACCCUAGUGGCAUGAGAGGCUCUCUCCACAAGGUGGGUGUAUAUAUAGGGAAUGACCUAGGGUUGGUUGGACCUCAUCCGUCUGAUCACGAUCUAAGGGCCACGAACACAGGUACGGGUUAGGUGGGUCUAGUGGUUUGUGUCGAUGGCAUAGGCUAAGAGAAGAGAUGUAAUUUGAGGCAUGUGGCAGGUUUUUAAACACCGAAAACGUCCGAC